Long non-coding RNA from Stegastes partitus (bicolor damselfish), 439 nucleotides. RefSeq lists it as uncharacterized. The transcript has 2 exons. The record is from RefSeq and is a predicted model, not a curated record. NCBI's taxonomy places the organism in Eukaryota, Metazoa, Chordata, Actinopteri, Pomacentridae.
UGGCUUUGGAGGUGUUGGCGGCAGCGCUGGUUUCUACAGUGGUUCUUAUCCCUUCGGUAGUGCAGAAUACGCUCCUUGGCUUGGGUUUCCAAAGGGGUUCUACUACUCUCUGAGGGACUUGAGCCCAAACCCAUAUUUCCGGCUCCCAGACCCCUCAGCCUGGCUCCCUGAUGGAGUUCCGGUGGGCUCCCUUCCCGCCCCUGUCCGGGGUCCUACGUCUUACCUGGUCCAGUCCAGCAACGGCUACCAGCGAGCCAGAGAAGUCCUCUCCCACUCCAAAUACGACCCGGAUGACUUCGGCCCGUUCUACCCGCCGGUGGACCCAGCAGUUCCAACAAUAGGACCCGUAGGGAAGAAGGUCUAAGGAGGUGAAGCUGAUCAGCAGAACCUCCAAGAACCAACAACUUACAUUGAAUAAACUUUAAACCAUGACUCUGAA